This 497-nucleotide ribosomal RNA is filed under the name bacterium. RNAcentral's name for it is "bacterial SSU rRNA". It matches the Rfam family "Bacterial small subunit ribosomal RNA", at positions 929 to 1446 of the family's 1533-position model. The record is from RNAcentral.
GCAGCGGAGCAUGUGGUUUAAUUGGAUGCGACGCCAAGAACCUUACCAGGCUUGACAUGGUCGGCAAAUUCGGUCCUCCUUCGGGACUCGAUCACAGGUGGUGCAUGGCUGUCGUCAGCUCGUGUCGUGAGAUGUUGGGUUAACAACGAGCGCAACCCCUGUCCCAUGUUGCCAGCGAGUUAUGUCGGGGACUCAUGGGAGACUGCCGGUGACAAAUCGGAGGAAGGUGGGGGAUGACGUCAAGUCAUCAUGCCCCUUACGUCCUGGGCUACACACGUGCUACAUUGGCCGGUACAGAGGGCGGCAAACCCGUGAGGGUGAGCGAAUCCCAAAAAGCCGGUCCCGGUUCGGAUUGGAGGCUGCAACUCGCCUCCAUGAAGGCGGAGUUGCUAGUAAUCGCGGAUCAGCAAUGCCGCGGUGAAUACGUUCCCGGGCCUUGUACACACCGUCACACCACGAAAGUCGGCAACACCGAAGCCGGUGGGCUAACCGCAAGG